GACAGAGGGUGCGAACGUUGUUCGGAAUUACUGGGCGUAAAGCGCGUGUAGGCGGCAGCGCAAGUCGGGCGUGAAAUCCCACGGCUCAACCGUGGAAGUGCACUCGAAACUGCGCAGCUAGAGUCCUGGAGAGGAAGGUGGAAUGCGUUGGUGUAGAGGUGAAAUUCGUAGAUAUCAAGCGGAACACCGGUGGCGAAGGCGACCUUCUGGACAGUGACUGACGCUGAGACGGCGAAAGCGUGGGGAGCAAACAGGG
This 256-nucleotide ribosomal RNA is filed under the name uncultured bacterium. Its description in RNAcentral is "partial 16S ribosomal RNA". It matches the Rfam family "Bacterial small subunit ribosomal RNA", at positions 524 to 777 of the family's 1533-position model. The record is from RNAcentral.